GAGGGGUUUUAGUUUUGGCUUAUUUCUUUUAUAGGUGAGUAUCGUUUGUCCCGUUUUUAAUAAUUUUUAUAUUUUCGGGAUCGUUGUAACUUGAUCUAGCUAAAUAGGGGACUAAUUUGCAAUAUGAUUUGAAGUAUAGAUUUUUGCCAUGUGAGAUUAUUGGCUGUUUUUGAGGUUUAAUGGAAGAAAAUGAAUCCUUGUUGUUGAUUAUACAACUUUUGUUAAAUGAUUUUUAGUGUCAAAUAGGGAUUAAAUUGAGAAAUAUGAAAAUUACGUGUUAACAUGUGAAAUUGUGAAAAUUAUAUGCUGUUGUAGGCUUAUAAUAUAUUCAGUUAGGCUUGAGUUGGAUGAAAUUGCAUGAAUUUUGUUUUAUGAGCCUAGGGACUAAAUUGUAAAGAAGUUGAAAUAUUCGGGGCAAAAAUAUAAUUUUUCCAUAAAGUGAAUUAUAGUUUGUUUUUGGUACCAUAAACAUUCGGCUAAGCUCAGUUGUGGUUAAAAAUGCUUAAUUUGCAUGUUUUGAGCUCAAGGACUAAAUUGAAUAAAAGUGAAAUUUUAGGGGUAAUUUUGUAAAAAGAUUAAAAGUAUAGGGGUAAAAUAGUAAUUUUUCCAUGACAUGAUAUUGGAUUGAAUUGAAUGAGAUGAGUAUUGAAAUAGUUAAAUGUGAUGUUUUAGAUCAAGAUUUGACUAGGGUUUCAGCAAUGAUUCUGAAAGGCUCAGGUGUGGUUCGGCAUCGAAAUCGUAUCAGGUUUGUACCCAAAACACAAAACACGAGGUAUAAGCAAAAGCUGAGAAAAGCCACUAUUGACGCCACAUAGCCGUGUAGUAGGCUGUGUGGUGGGCCGUGUAGUGGCUCGAGUGUGGCCGUGUGGGCCAUACGAGCAUAUGGGCCCUAUACUAGCAUAUGGGCCCCACACGAGCAUAUAGGCCCCACAUGAUCAUAUGGGCUCCACACGAGCAUAUGGGCCCCACACGAGCAUAUGGCUUCUACGCGGGCACGUAGACCCUACAAGGGUACUUAAGCCCCACACGAGCACGUGGGCCCCACAUAGGCAAGUGGGCCCUACAUGGGCAUGUGAGCCCAAUUAUCUGAAUUUUUUCCUAGGGUUGCACGGGCCGUCCUAAACGAUUGUAGGCCUGCAGUAAGAUUCUGUUUAUUGAUUAAUGCAUGUCUGCUACUGAAAUGGGCUAAGGCCCAAACUGUUACUGAUACUGAAAUGGGCUUAGGCCCAGACUGCAUUUGACUGAUUGUUGUGAUUGACUGAGCAGGUCUGAUUACUGAUCCGUAUGACUAUCUGUUAUCUGUUUAUAAAAUCAUGUUAAGCAUGAUUAUCUGUAUCAGCAUGUUAUGUUGCAUUGCAUGGGUUGAGAUUGUUAUUUUUGAGGAAGUGUAAUGUACUGAUAUGGUCCACGGGUCGCACAAGACGACUGUGGACCUAUUGAUGGCUUUAAGCCAUUCAUAUUACUGGUAGCUUUGCUGCAAUAUUAUUUAGUGCCACAACCGGUGCUAAUUUUGGUGUGUACGGAUGGAUGGGUCGAUUUUAUCCCCACAUGGUGUGUAAGGUUGGUACGGAGAUUGUGUGUAGAGGUUGGAUUGGUAGGACCUGCAUACUGUUUACUGUUGCUGCACUGUUUACUGUUACUGUAAUGGGCCAAAACCCGAGUAUAUGACUGCUUCUGUAUUAAGAUGGGCUAAAGCCCAAACUGAUUUUGCCACUGUACUGAAAUGUACUGUUCUAAGGUUGCAUGGGUCGCCCAAUAUGACUGUGAACCUACUGUAGGGUCGGUAAACACUACUUAGACCCUUAAAUGCGUGAACUGUAUGUAUGACGUAUGUACUGAACAUGAUGACUAUAUGAACUGCUACUGAAACUGAAAUGGGCUAAGGCCCGAAUUGCUACUGAAACUGAAAUGGGCUUAGGCCCAUACUGCUUUUGACUGUUUGUUGUGAUUGACUGAAUGCUUGUUUUCUGUAGGGAUUACACACUGAGUUUAUGUAAACUCACCCCUUUUUGUUUUAUCUGUAGAAGAAAUCCCCAUACUUAGACGGAUCGGUGUGGCGGAGCCUCUUGGUGACCACAUGUUCAAACUGAUUGUGAUUUUGCACUUAAUAAUUAAAUGCUGAUUAUUUUGGGUUUUAUAUUAUGUAAUGCGGUCUUUACGGACUGUUUUGUUUUGAUUCAGUUGUUUAGACUGCGACUUUAUGAUUACAUAAUUGAAAAAAAAAAACUCAGAUUUUAUCGAAA
This 2243-nucleotide long non-coding RNA is filed under the name Gossypium barbadense (sea-island cotton). RNAcentral's name for it is "long non-coding RNA (GBAR_LNC011041)". Lineage: Eukaryota; Viridiplantae; Streptophyta; Magnoliopsida; Malvales; Malvaceae. The record is from RNAcentral.